This 976-nucleotide ribosomal RNA is filed under the name human gut metagenome. Its description in RNAcentral is "bacterial LSU rRNA". It matches the Rfam family "Bacterial large subunit ribosomal RNA", at positions 1950 to 2925 of the family's 2925-position model. The record is from RNAcentral.
CCUAAGGUAGCGAAAUUCCUUGUCGGGUAAGUUCCGACCUGCACGAAUGGCGUAACGAUCUCCACACUGUCUCGGCCAGAGACUCGGUGAAAUUGAAGUCGCGGUGAAAAUGCCGUGUACCCGCAGAAAGACGGAAAGACCCUGUGCACCUUUACUAUAGCUUGACAUUGGGAUUUGAGCCUGCAUGUGUAGCAUAGGUGGGAGGCUGUGAACUCUGUACGCCAGUAUGGAGGGAGCCAACGUUGAAAUACCACCCUUGUUUGUUCAGGUCCCUAACUCUUCGCCGUUACCCGGUAAGAGGACAGUGUCUGGUGGGUAGUUUGACUGGGGCGGUCGCCUCCCAAAAUGUAACGGAGGCAUGCAAAGGUUCCCUCAGGCUGAUUGGAAACCAGCCGUCGAGUGCAAACGCAAAAGGGAGCUUGACUGCAAGAGAGACAUCUCGAGCAGGUACGAAAGUAGGUGUUAGUGAUCCGGUGAUCCCGAAUGGAAGGGUCAUCGCUCAUUGGAUAAAAGGUACGCCGGGGAUAACAGGCUGAUCGCAUCCAAGAGUUCACAUCGACGAUGCGGUUUGGCACCUCGAUGUCGGCUCAUCACAUCCUGGGGCUGAAGCAGGUCCCAAGGGUACGGCUGUUCGCCGUUUAAAGUGGUACGCGAGCUGGGUUUAAAACGUCGUGAGACAGUUUGGUCCCUAUCUUCUGUGGGCGUAGGAGAAUUGAAAGGGCCUGUCCCUAGUACGAGAGGACCGGGAUGGACACACCACUGGUGGACCUGUUGUCGUGCCAACGGCACAGCAGGGUAGCUAUGUGUGGAAGGGAUAACCGCUGAAAGCAUCUAAGCGGGAAGCCUGCCUUAAGAUAAGUUCUCCCUGACGCAAGUCCUGAAGGGCCGAGGUAGACGACCUCGUUGAUAGGCUGGAGGUGGAAGCCCUGUGAGGGGUGGAGCUGACCAGUACUAAUAGCCCGUGCGUCUUGUUUCU